This is a long non-coding RNA of Contarinia nasturtii (swede midge), 1144 nucleotides long. RefSeq lists it as uncharacterized. The transcript is spliced from 2 exons. The record is from RefSeq and is a predicted model, not a curated record. NCBI's taxonomy places the organism in Eukaryota, Metazoa, Arthropoda, Insecta, Diptera, Cecidomyiidae.
AUUUCGUAUGUUAAUUUAUUUGAAACGCAUUGUGUACAAAACUUGUGUACAUAAGUUGGCUUAGCAUCCAAUGAGCCUUAGUUAUUUUCCAAUUGCAGUAACAUUCGCAGUAAAAUGAAGGCAUUUUUAUCACUUGUGCUCAGUUUAUUAUUGGUCAAGAGAGUAUCGAAUUCAGUAAAAUAGUGAAAACACUGUGUGAAAAAUCGGCGCAAAAAAACUUUGUAAUAUUGCGUCGGGAGUUGGAAGCGAUGUUCAUGAUAACUGAUUAUAAAAAUAUUAAUAAAGUAAAAGCUAAAUUUGGUCCCACAGUCGAUGGCUUUAUGGACACAGCAAAAAGAGAUCAAAUUGUAUUGGCAAAGAUUCCAAAGGAUAUGAAAAUUGUUGGCUUUAACACUCAUGACUUUUUCGAAGAAGGGAUCAAUGCCAUUAUUGAAGGACAGACUGAAACGCUUAAACAAUUGAUCACAAAUUACAUUCGAGACAAACAAUGACUAUGUGGUAAACACGUACAUGGGGUUACGAUUCCUAGUUUUGACGCAUCAGUUCUGCUACCAAUCGAAGAUGGUAUUCCAGCUAUCCGAUCAGUCUAUAAGACAUUACAUAGUCAAUUCAAGGAACAAAUGAAAAUAGCAAAUGAGUUGGGCAAAAAUUUCGACAAAGAUGUCAAAGCAGCUGUCGUGCGAUUUAAUAGCCUUUUAACGCUUAUUGACUCGAAAAAGGUCGAAAAAAGUAUUAAAGAACUUGAACCUAUGUUAGUUAAAAUAUUUACACAUUCCGCCGCAAUAUUUGCCAAUCUGCAGAAUAUAAGUGAUAUUCUAGACGAUUACAACAAUCAACGGAUCGAAUGGGCAACGUUUCUACUUAGUAGCGGCGAUAAACAUGCACCAAUAAGACCUCGGAAAAAACCAGUUGCAAAAUCCCCAGUUGAUGCCAAACGUCCACCGUGGAAACAACCCGGACAAAACUUACCACUGAAGCUAUAAACAGUUUUUAGCAGAAAAAGACCAUUCAGACAUGAUUGAAAGCUUCAAUGUCGGCUCUUUGAAAUAAACCAAAACCAAAUACGACUUGUGAAGUCACAAAAUUUUUAUUGAAAAAUGAAUAAAAUAAGCGAACAAUUUUUGGAAAAUGUUCGAAAAAAUGA